ACAGGGGUGCUGAUUGUUUCGGCUGAGAUUAUACCCUGAACCUGAUUCGGAUAAUGCCGACGUAGGAAGUAUUAAA
This 76-nucleotide non-coding RNA is filed under the name uncultured Ruminococcus sp. RNAcentral describes it as "TPP riboswitch (THI element)". It matches the Rfam family "TPP riboswitch aptamer (THI element)", at positions 9 to 90 of the family's 105-position model. From Rfam's summary of the family: Vitamin B(1) in its active form thiamin pyrophosphate (TPP) is an essential coenzyme that is synthesised by coupling of pyrimidine and thiazole moieties in bacteria. The previously detected thiamin-regulatory element, thi box was extended, resulting in a new, highly conserved RNA secondary structure, the THI element, which is widely distributed in eubacteria and also occurs in some archaea. Lineage: Bacteria; Bacillati; Bacillota; Clostridia; Eubacteriales; Oscillospiraceae. The record is from RNAcentral.